RNAcentral lists this unclassified non-coding RNA (371 nucleotides) under soil metagenome. RNAcentral describes it as "partial contains 5.8S ribosomal RNA, internal transcribed spacer 2, and large subunit ribosomal RNA". The stretch from base 1 to 120 matches the Rfam family "5.8S ribosomal RNA", at positions 35 to 154 of the family's 154-position model. The record is from RNAcentral.
GAUGAAGAACGUAGUGAAAUGCGAUAAGUAAUGUGAAUUGCAGAAUUCAGUGAAUCAUCGAAUCUUUGAACGCAUCUUGCGCUCCUUGGUAUUCUGAGGAGCAUGCCUGUUUGAGUGUCAUUAAAGUUCUCAACCACAUUACUACAUAUGUGGCUUGGAUGUGGGGGUUUGCAGGCUUUCUCUGAGGGUCUGCUCCUCUGAAAUGCAUUAGUGGUAUUCCUGAGCUUUACUACAGAUGUGAUAAUUUAUCUACAUCCCAAAAGUAUGCUUCAGCAACACCGCUCCUAACAAGCGAAAGCACAUUUUGAUGAAUUUGACCUCAAAUCAGGUAGGACUACCCGCUGAACUUAAGCAUAUCAAUAAGCGGAGGA